Molecule: ribosomal RNA, 420 nt
Filed under: uncultured Chryseobacterium sp.
Lineage: Bacteria; Pseudomonadati; Bacteroidota; Flavobacteriia; Flavobacteriales; Weeksellaceae
Description: bacterial SSU rRNA
Rfam family: Bacterial small subunit ribosomal RNA
Source: RNAcentral
GUGAGGAAUAUUGGACAAUGGGUGCGAGCCUGAUCCAGCCAUCCCGCGUGAAGGACGACGGCCCUAUGGGUUGUAAACUUCUUUUGUAUAGGGAUAAACCUACUCUCGUGAGAGUAGCUGAAGGUACUAUACGAAUAAGCACCGGCUAACUCCGUGCCAGCAGCCGCGGUAAUACGGAGGGUGCAAGCGUUAUCCGGAUUUAUUGGGUUUAAAGGGUCCGUAGGCGGAUCUGUAAGUCAGUGGUGAAAUCUCACAGCUUAACUGUGAAACUGCCAUUGAUACUGCAGGUCUUGAGUGUUGUUGAAGUAGCUGGAAUAAGUAGUGUAGCGGUGAAAUGCAUAGAUAUUACUUAGAACACCAAUUGCGAAGGCAGGUUACUAAGCAACAACUGACGCUGAUGGACGAAAGCGUGGGGAGCGA